AGUGCUGCCGGAAUGGUCCGGCAGAAAAGGGAAUCAGGUGAAAAUCCUGAGCGAUCCGGUCACUGUAAUGGAGGAGCGGCUUUUCGGAUACCCAUUGUGCCAGGCAUGAGAAGGGGAAAAGCGGCGAUGAGCCCAGAGCCAGGAAACCUGCUUUGUGU
RNAcentral lists this non-coding RNA (158 nucleotides) under uncultured Blautia sp. The record is from RNAcentral. Lineage: Bacteria; Bacillati; Bacillota; Clostridia; Lachnospirales; Lachnospiraceae.